RNAcentral lists this ribosomal RNA (497 nucleotides) under uncultured bacterium. RNAcentral describes it as "partial 16S ribosomal RNA". It matches the Rfam family "Bacterial small subunit ribosomal RNA", at positions 28 to 507 of the family's 1533-position model. The record is from RNAcentral.
GAUGAACGCUGGCGGCGUGCCUAAUACAUGCAAGUCGAGCGAACAGACGAGGAGCUUGCUCCUCUGACGUUAUCGGCGGACGGGUGAGUAACACGUGGAUAACCUACCUAUAAGACUGGGAUAACUUCGGGAAACCGGAGCUAAUACCGGAUAAUAUAUUGAACCGCAUGGUUCAAUAGUGGAAGACGGUUUUGCUGUCACUUAUAGAUGGAUCCGCGCCGCAUUAGCUAGUUGGUAAGGUAACGGCUUACCAAGGCAACGAUGCGUAGCCGACCUGAGAGGGUGAUCGGCCACACUGGAACUGAGACACGGUCCAGACUCCUACGGGAGGCAGCAGUAGGGAAUCUUCCGCAAUGGGCGAAAGCCUGACGGAGCAACGCCGCGUGAGUGAUGAAGGUCUUCGGAUCGUAAAACUCUGUUAUUAGGGAAGAACAAAUGUGUAAGUAACUAUGCACGUCUUGACGGUACCUAAUCAGAAAGCCACGGCUAACUCCGUG